UUGUCUCCCCAGAUACAGCACUAGAGCAGGGAAGACAAAGAGGAUUUUUCCAUCUUUCUGGCAAGCCAAUUUUGAGGAGGGUUAUGUAGUUGCAUUCUGUCUUCUAAAUCAGGUCGAUUACAACACUUUGUGGACAAGCGGAGAGCUGCUUUUUGAGCUAAAGGGACAAAUUUAUCAGGGAUAGUAUUCUUAGAUUGCUAAAAUAAGAUAACAUUGUUGCCUCAGUUAUUGGUGACUGGUUUCUUACAGCGGUUGGGGAGGCUUGGUCAAGGCAUUGAUCAUGUGAGACAUAAAGUAAUAAUACACAAAAGGGGUAAUCGGGAAGCACCAUAUAUAGAUUAAUAAAUACAAGUUAAGGUUGAUUGCUGGGAAGUUCUGCGAGGCCCUGCACCCUAAAAUAGCCGGGAACUUGCACUAAAAUGUUAAAUGACCGGACAUCGGCAUCCCAGCUAGGGGGCCCGUUUUACAACUGGUGCGUGGGCGAAGUUUACGAUAGGCAGGGCUUACGUCUGAGGAUAAGAGACAGAGGUCAGGAGGGUUGCAACUCAGAGACAACUGUAAAUAGGAAGAAAAGAACAAAGGGUAGUUAGACUUAAAAAUCUUCCACUGACUUAAUUGAACAAGCUAGAAAGUAAGCGGAUAUAAACCAAAGUUAGAAGCUAUGACAGAAAACGCCGUUUACUGAACAGGUGACUAUGGGAGACUCGGUCGUGCUAGCGUGACCUUAUUGACAAGUGAGAACCCAGUGUGUCCCCUCUCAUAUGCUGUUAGAGCUGCGGGUCGGUCGCCGGUUUCGGCUGUUCAGUUUAUCCACAAUAACAAAGACAUAAGCAAUGCCGUGAAGCAAGCAAGGGGGUGCCACUGUUAUUAUUUGUCACGAGAGACUGAGAAAGACUCUUCAACCUGACGAUUGCAUCUAUAUGAAGGAUGUUUCUCAUGACAAAAAGAGAGCCAAGGAAAGGACUUGGUGGUGGAGACGGAAAAAAGCUGGAAAGACAAAGAGCAGCUGAAUGGUCCUGUGUCUCCACGUUUACCAAGCGAAUUGGAACAAUAUGAUGAAAAGUCUGUUUCAGUGGGGGACAAAGUGGACACAUUUCAAAGCCAUCAAUGAUGCUGAGGGACGAAGGUCGGAGUCGGUCGGUGAUCAGUGGCUCGUCGGAAGAUGGUGGGGACACACUUGAGGAAUUAUGGAGUCCACCCCCUUGGCAGGAGCAUCUUUUGCAGAGCCUCUAGGAACUUUGCUGUGCUGACUCCCACCAGUAACAUCUACUGCCGGCGGACCUGAGACAGCUGUCGAAGAAGGGUGCCCGGGUAAAGUGGACACAUUGAUUCAUAAUGUAUCCGAACGGGAGGUUAGUAUUCCAAUUCUGAACUUUGAUUCAACACUGUACUGUUAUUGGAGGUUGCUAGUUUAUGCAGGUUCAUCACAGGAAGUUGGAUGGAGGAGAGCUUAGGAAGAUAUGGUGCAUGCAUGACUGGUGGGAUACAGAGUAUGACCAAUAUCGGAAUGUCUAAUGCAAUACUGUCGAGGGAGUUCACAUGAUAUGGUAGUAAGUACCUUAGCGUGACACUGACGGUGAGUAUGAUAUGAUUGAGGGGUAAUGAGUAAUACGAAACAUCUAUUGACACCCCUCCAGAGGUUAUGAUUCGUCAAGUGGCAGAUAUAUGGGUUUUGGCAUGAACAAUAAAUAUAGAGUAACUAUGGUAUAAUGAGAUAUUAGAGUCUGGGGGCUAAUAUGGACUUGAUGACGCAAUCGGUUACGAACUAGGGUCUCUACGAGGUACGGAACUAAAAGGGGAGUGAUGUGAAAAUUAACGCAAAUUUAAAUUACAGGACGACUGAGGGGUAAGAUAUUGCAAGCCGCUGCGGGUGGUUAGGGGUGCGUGCCAAGAAUCCACCGAAUUGGGGAGGAAUCAGGAGGGUCUCAUAGGGGCACCCCCAUCCCUUUUUGGGUCAGUUAAGUCAGGAGGCGCAUGGGCUAGCCCAUGACGCAAGGGGGGUGUAAAGCGGAAAAUUAGGAAAGAAUAGGGGUUUGGGCACCUGUUAAAUAAAUUGUAGAAAUUAUCAUAGUUUAGCUUAGCUUUCAUUAAUAUUAUGGACAAUUUUGAUGGAAAGAAUUGCGCAACAAAGAAGUCUGCAGAAGAAUAAACCUAGGGUAAUACUAGUCAAAGGGACGACGGAGUCUUGUACGUACUUAAAUUCCGUGUUUCCGUGGGUUUGUAAAAACGUUAUUAGUAUCGUGUGAAUGUGUAGAAGUGUGAAUGUAUAAGACAGGAUUGCAAAUUACAACUGGGUUUGGAAGCAGGUGCAAGAAUCCUCCGUCCCGUGGGGGUAAAAGUUUGAAGGUUACCAAGCCCCAGACAUUCAUUGUCACCCUGUCAUUUUGAAUAGUCAGUAUUAAGGUCACUCUCGGUGCAAAUAAAUUGACUUCCAAAUUCACAAAAUAAGGAAAAAUAACAGUAAACCGGAUUCAAGAGAACGCUUCACGUGUAAAGACUGGAAAUAUGUUCAACUCCAAACCCCUUACAAAAUGAAACAUUUAAACACAUGGAUAACCAAAUACGAUGUCGCGGGCCAGCUAAAUUUGAAAAAUUGGUUCAACGUCGAGACGAAAUAAAAGUCGACAUAAAAAUAAUAGAAAAAUGGAUAAAAGAGGGAUAUGAUGACAUAGUUGUCUGGCUAAACAUGGUGUCUAAAAUAGAAAAAGGAAGUAAAGAAACGAAGGACUUAGAAAAUGGACGGAAAAGGCCUUCAGGGACAUUAAACAACAUUUGGUGUCCAGGAAAGUGCUGGCCCUUCCAAAGUAUGAUAAAACAUUCAUUCAAAUGGUAGAGUGGAAAAGCUAUUACAAGACCUCCGUACUUACGCAACAAUGAAGUGAUAAACUAAGACCAAGAGCUUAUUUUUUGACUAAAAUAGACAGAGUGAUGUGAUAAUGGGCGGCAUGGUGGCCGACUGGUUAGAGCGUCAGCCUCACAGUUCUGAGGACCGGGGUUCAAUCCCCGGCCCCGCCUGUGUGGAGUUUGCAUGUUCUCCCCGUGCCUCCGUGGCUUUUCUCCGGGCACUCCGGUUUCUUCCCACAUCCCAAAAACAUGCAUUAAUUGGAGACUCUAAAUUGCCCGUAGGUGUGACUGUGAGUGCGACUGGUUGUUUGUUUGUAUGUGCCCUGCGAUUGGCUUGCAACCAGUUCAGGGUGUACCCCGCCUCCUGCCCGAUGACAGCUGGGAUAGACUCCAGCACGCCCGCGACCCGCGUGAGGAGAAGUGACUCAGAAGAUGAACGGAUGGAUGGACUUGGUGGAGGAAGUUAGGUCAUUUUCUUGGCUCAGAUUCCUUCAUGCAAGGGUGUUACAAAACAAAUUAAUAUCCAGCGAUGGUAAGCGUCGGAGUCAUGUCCGCAGGGGUUUGGAGACAUACAGCGAUGCAAGGGGGGUAUUAUCACUUACGGAUUAAGCAACGGCCACUACCAUGCCUGCCUCAGAUGUGUAGAACUGACUGCCCUCCAUAUAUUGUACUGUUAGAUAUCCAUUUGAAAAUGGGUUGGAUUAAGUUUGAUUUUGUUGCAAAAUACUGGCAGAUGUUUUUGUUCUUCCAGGGGUGGUCUGGAGCUGUUCAGGGUCCCGUGUGUAUAAACCUGAACUCUGGGACUAAUUCAUGGUGGACAGCGGCCCGGGGCUGCAGGGGUUACAGUUUCUUCAUCAAUGACACGAGCUGUAGACCAUAUGGAGGGAGACCACCUUUAAGAUUUUUAUUUUUAUUUCGUGUGUAUUUUGAUAUGUGUGCUUCCACAGUUCUUUUUUGUGUUUUACGCUGUUUUUUGUUCAUUUAUUUCAAUGUUUGUAUUAUUCUGUUGUGUAUGGUUUGCCAUCCGAGUCAAGGCCCCUUUGGGUGUUUUGAUGUACGGGGCUCUGAAGGACACGUGACACGACUCUCGCUCUUUUCCUCGUCUCGUUUUGAGAAAGGUUUUUCGACCGAGAGCCGCGAAACCUUGACGCUUCCACGAGGCUGCGCGUACAAAUUGAUAAAUUUGGGAUUGGCUCCGUUUCGAUAUCGGGGAGGAGAUUUGGUUUGUUUGGCUGUUUGGUACGCACGUGUGACCUCGGGGGGCGAAGAGGAGACGCAGGGAGUGAUUCGGCCUUAUUAGAAUAAUUAUUUUUCCUAGUAAAUGGUUAACCAUAAGUAAAUGCCUUGGAGCAUGAUAUAUUUUCUUGACCAAGUAGAUUUGUUCAAAUUGUAGAUAAUUAGUUAACUUUUUGGGCUAACGCCGGUUUGUUGGUUCUGGCCAGGUGUCAUUUGGUAACUCUAGGUUUGUAAUGAGUUUGGGGAUCUCAUUAAAGGGGGGUUAUGUAGUAUAUUUUCAUAGUAACACAAUCAGAGUUCCUUCGGGAAGGACAAAUGUUUGGAGACCUGUGUUCCCACCAACUGUCUUUUCUUUGUACUUCUACAUCAAAGAACAUCCUUUAACCAGUUAUAUGUUGAUUGGGGGGUCUUGCAUCCCCCUGACAGAAACCUGUCGGGGGUUUACAACCGGUCCUGGUCUUCAAAGAGGACUGUUUGGCAUUAUCGUAACAAAGGACCCCCGGGGGUAAGAUUGACCAGGCUGAGAGACGACAGCAGAGGAGUAGUGGUAUUUCACACACCCAAAGAGACACCAGCUGGCAGGUACGAUUCCAAAUAUGGUCAUGAGGAGCAGCAUCUUUCCGGAUGCAACGAGGGAGGGGGCUAAGUCCACGCCCAGAGAAUUAGAACCUUGAUAAACUGAGAUCCCAGGGUUUUCGGGGGCUUUUUCGUCGUUCUGACAAUGCAGCAGCUGCUAUGACACUAAGGCCUGUUCAAUAAAUCGAAUUAGCCCAAAU
Molecule: long non-coding RNA, 4856 nt
Organism: Phyllopteryx taeniolatus (common seadragon)
Lineage: Eukaryota; Metazoa; Chordata; Actinopteri; Syngnathiformes; Syngnathidae
Exons: 3
Source: RefSeq, a predicted model, not a curated record